RNAcentral lists this long non-coding RNA (228 nucleotides) under Lathyrus oleraceus (garden pea). RNAcentral describes it as "Pisum sativum (pea) long non-coding RNA (PSAT_LNC005719)". Lineage: Eukaryota; Viridiplantae; Streptophyta; Magnoliopsida; Fabales; Fabaceae. The record is from RNAcentral.
UUGUAUUUUAUUGGAACAAGUUGACGUUAUUCUUGGAAUGAAUUGGUUGGAGUUAAAACAAGUGUUUACCAAUUGUUUUGAUAAGUUGGUGCAGUGUGUCGUUGAUUGUAAGAGCUCAGGUGAUGGUAAAGUUGUGUUAUUCCUAACACUGAAGAUGAUGUGGAUUCGAGAUUCCUAUCUUCCGGUAAAGUUGGGAAGUCCUUAGGGAAAACGAUCAAGUAUUGUUAA